AUCAGUUUUGGUAGUAACCAGCCACUCGUGUUACCUCUAGUGUUCCUAGGAUUAAUGUUAUGUCGUAGUGUUUUUGCUCUUAUAUUGGAUUUACCAUUCUUCAGGAUUCCUGUCGACCUCAUUGGAUACUGACCUCUACUCCAGGAUUCUGAUAUUCAGCACACGGACCAGGAUUUGGAUAUUCAGCACACGGACCAUAUCACCACCCUCCAUAACCCACCUCUCAUCUCACCCAGUGCCCCAUCCACCAGGACGCCCCGCUUCUCUCCACCUCUGCUCCCUCUCCUGCGCUUCCCCCGGCUCUCUACCUCUCCCUCCUCCAGCCAACACAUACACGCCCCACAACGCUGAGCUGUUGUUGCAGUUCCAACCACAGACUUAUCUGUGCACCUUAAGUUCCUCCUUAUAAAUAAAUCGUGUUUUCCAUCA
Molecule: non-coding RNA, 429 nt
Organism: Nothobranchius furzeri (turquoise killifish)
Lineage: Eukaryota; Metazoa; Chordata; Actinopteri; Cyprinodontiformes; Nothobranchiidae
Source: RefSeq, a predicted model, not a curated record